RNAcentral lists this ribosomal RNA (263 nucleotides) under uncultured bacterium. RNAcentral describes it as "partial 16S ribosomal RNA". It matches the Rfam family "Bacterial small subunit ribosomal RNA", at positions 793 to 1055 of the family's 1533-position model. The record is from RNAcentral.
GUCCACGCCGUAAACGAUGUCUACUAGCCGUUGGGAGACUUGAUUUCUUAGUGGCGCAGCUAACGCUUUAAGUAGACCGCCUGGGGAGUACGGCCGCAAGGUUAAAACUCAAAUGAAUUGACGGGGGCCCGCACAAGCGGUGGAGCAUGUGGUUUAAUUCGAUGCAACGCGAAGAACCUUACCAGGUCUUGACAUCCUCGGAACUUUCCAGAGAUGGAUUGGUGCCUUCGGGAACCGAGAGACAGGUGCUGCAUGGCUGUCGU